This is a long non-coding RNA of Drosophila teissieri, 2307 nucleotides long. RefSeq lists it as uncharacterized. The transcript is spliced from 2 exons. NCBI's taxonomy places the organism in Eukaryota, Metazoa, Arthropoda, Insecta, Diptera, Drosophilidae. The record is from RefSeq and is a predicted model, not a curated record.
AACACAUCGAAGUCUCUCGGAAAAUAUUUCUUUUUUUUGUCGAUCUUCAGAAUAGUAUGCAUUAACAUAAUAUUAUAAUUAACCUAUACGCGCUGAGAUACGAUUUUAAAAUUCAAGGAAAAGUGAAAAGAAGGCCACAAUUCAACUUAGAUCAUCGCAAAUUUCCCCACCCCGCAGUACCAAAAAGCUUGCUGCUGACAACGAAAAGAGAGGGAGAGGGGAAGGCAAACCUGGCUCUUCAGCAGGUGCUGAGUAUUCGCCGAAAAUUCGUAUUGAGAGCAUCGCGGCUUGGAGCAGCCACUCCAGAGUUCGGUAGCUUACGAAAAAGAGCUCUCUACGCCCGGAAAAUCCAGAGAAAAACCCAUAAGGAACGAAGAAUCGGGAAAUGUGGAAAAAUACCUUUUUUUUGUGUGCCAUAUAAAGUGAAAAUUAACAUAACCCCACACCGUGAAUAACCCGCAUGCAGGCGGUUGCAUAACCUAUAUAUAUAUAUAUAUAUAUAUAUAUUCGUAUAUAUAUAUAUGCAUAUAUAUGCGUAUAAGUUAAAAUUUUGAAAAUAUUGAAGAGUGAAGUUUGUUUUGCCAAGGAAUGGCCGUAUCGAGAAUAGGAUAGUUAUAGUUUUUUUUAUUUUAUUUAAUUUUUUUUUGUUGUAUUAUAUAUAAUAAUUUUUGUAGUGGGAAAUUAUUGAAGUUUGGUGAGGAGAAUAUGUUCAUGUGAGAGAAUGGUGUUCUGUGUAAAUAUGUGAAGAAAAUCGAAACAAAAAGAAAAAAAAAACAAGAAAAUAUAUGAUAUGAAAAAAAUCGAAAAAAAUAUAAAUUGUGCGUUAAUAAUAAAAUAGUUGAAAUAUAAGUAAAAUAUAAGUAAAGUAAUGAAGUGAAUCGGUCCAGUGAAACAUAUAUAAAAGCGAUGAUGAUUGAGUGCUAACAAAAGAAAAUGAAAAAUAAUUACAAUAAAAUUUCGAGAAAAAUGAGGGGAAAAUGAUGACGUUGCCAGGUGAAAUCGAGUGAUCAAUAAUAAAAAGAAAAUGUAAAAGCAUGUAGAAAUCGACGCAAAGUCAAAUCGAUGUCUCUCAGUAAAGAAAAUAUCAUGUCGAUUCUCAAUCAACUAAUUAUUUUUCAAUGCUUGUAAUUUAACACCGUCUGAGCUGCCAUAUAUUCGCCAUCGAAUUCUUUUUUUUAUUAAAACAUGCAAGGAAAACCUUACUUUUGCCUUCCCCAUCUUUAUUAUUCGCAUUUAUUUUAUUUUUAAUACUUAUUGUAUACUAUUUUAUAUUUUUUAUUAUACCUAUUCUAAAUAUAUACAUAUCUAUACCUAUACAUAUACAUACAUAUACAUAUUAUCUACCCACAGCACCAUUCUCAUAUCUCUCACAUAAAGAAAAAAAUAAUAUAUAAGCUCAUUUUAGAAGUUAUGAUUUAGGUAAAUUUUAAAUGGAGAAAUUAAAUGAAAAAUUAGUCUUAUGAAUAAAAUGUUUUGAAGUUGAAAUGAUUUGUUAAUUUUUCUGCCGUAGGGGUCAUGCUGAACCUAAAAAUGAUAGGGUGUUAAAACGUGAACUUGAAAAUAGGGACCAUAUAAAAUUAAUUAUUUUUUUUUUGUACGGAAUAAAAUGGUCAAGGUUGGGUGGGCUAAUACUAGUUGCUAUAAAAACAGCCAUAGCAACAAUUUUUCAAGUCGCCUUGUUUCAUAAAUUCUUUUCUGUCUAUCGCCCCAAUGUUUCCUUUUGUUUUUUGUUGUUUCUUUUCGGAUCUGAGUGCCCUUUUCCUAUAAUUCCCGAAGCACGCGAAAUUUAAUAAUUCUAUUUGCAUACGACGCCAGCACUGCGAGUAAUACACUUAGAAAAACCCACCCAUCGUCCCGAAUCUGAGCAAGGCCGGAAGCAACGCGUGCGGUAUUACCUCGUAUGUCCAUCAGCUGGUCCAAAUAAUAAUAACAGUGAUAUGCUACAGAUUGUGCUCUUUAUUGUAUUAAAAGCUAAUAUAGAAGUUCCUUAUAGCGGCCGCUGCCAGAUGCAUUGCUUGCCGGCUAUGCAGUAGCUACCUGCCAGACGCUGUGUCAGCAGUUUGACCGGGGCUGGUCAACGGACAAUCGGUCGUUGCGGGUUAACUUAGUUAACUUGCAUAUCCAUACGGCAAAAAAAAAAAAUAAUAUAAAAAAAAACAAGAGAAUGCUAUAGUCGAGUUCCCCGACUACCAGAUUACUCAGGUAGUGGAAGUGUCACCGAUAAAUUUCAACAUGUUCUGGAAAAGCCGUAUAAAUUGGGAAAAAAAAUUCAAAUAAAUUUUCAUCAAAUGAAAAAUAAGUUAAAAA